This 253-nucleotide ribosomal RNA is filed under the name uncultured bacterium. Its description in RNAcentral is "partial 16S ribosomal RNA". It matches the Rfam family "Bacterial small subunit ribosomal RNA", at positions 524 to 776 of the family's 1533-position model. The record is from RNAcentral.
GACAGAGGGUGCGAGCGUUAACCGGAAUUACUGGGCGUAAAGCGCGCGUAGGCGGUUUUGUAAGUCGGGUGUGAAAUCCCCAAGCUUAACUUGGGAACUGCAUUCGAGACUGCAUAGCUAGAGUAUGGGAGAGGGAAGUGGAAUUUCAGGUGUAGCGGUGAAAUGCGUAGAUAUCUGAAGGAACAUCAGUGGCGAAAGCGACUUCCUGGACCAAUACUGACGCUCAUGUGCGAAAGCGUGGGGAGCAAACAGG